RNAcentral lists this ribosomal RNA (429 nucleotides) under Acroperus harpae. RNAcentral's name for it is "partial large subunit ribosomal RNA". It matches the Rfam family "Bacterial large subunit ribosomal RNA", at positions 1956 to 2606 of the family's 2925-position model. Lineage: Eukaryota; Metazoa; Arthropoda; Branchiopoda; Diplostraca; Chydoridae. The record is from RNAcentral.
GUAGCAUAAUCAUUUGUCUUUUAAUUAAAGGCUGGAAUGAAUGGCCUCACGAGAAAUUUCCUGUCUCAUACUUAAUAACUUAAAAUUGACUCAAAGGUGCAAAGGCCUUUAUAUUCUCAUUGGACGAUCAGACCCUAUGGAGCUUUAGAUUAAAAAAACUUAAGAUUAAAUAAAAUUAUGGUUUUCUAUUUCUUUUGUUGGGGCGACAAGGAGUAAUUACAUCACUCUAUUUACUAAACAAUAUUAGUUGGAAGAUUGAUCCCUUUAGAAGGACCAAAAGACUCAGUUACCCUAGGGAUAACAGCGUUAUUUUUCUGGAGAGUUCUUAUCGAUAGAAAAGUUUGCGACCUCGAUGUUGGAUUAAAGAAUCAGGAGGGGGUAGUUUUUCUCCUAGAGGGUCUGUUCGACCUUUAAAUCUUUACGUGAUCU